CCAUGCGAGUCGAGAGGUGUAAGACCUCGGCAUACUGCUCAGUAACACGUGGUUAACCUGCCCUAAGGUGGAGAAUACUCCCGGGAAACUGGGGCUAAUGCUCCAUAGUGGAUAUGUCCUGGAAUGGUAUAUCCUCGAAAGAUCCGUCGCCUUAGGAUGGGACUGCGUCCGAUUAGGUUGUUGGCGGGGUAACGGCCCACCAAGCCAUUGAUCGGUACGGGUUGUGGGAGCAAGAUCCCGGAGAUGGAUUCUGAGACAUGAAUCCAGGCCCUACGGGGCGCAGCAGGCGCGCAAACUUUACAAUGCGAGCAAUCGUGAUAAGGAAACCCUGAGUGCCUGUCGAUGCAGGCUGUUCAUAUAUCUAAAUCAUAUGUGAAGAAAGGGCAGGGCAAGACCGGUGCCAGCCGCCGCGGUAAUACCGGCUGCUCGAGUGAUGGCCACUAUUACUGGGUUUAAAGCGUCCGUAGCUUGACUGUUAGGUCUCUUGGGAAAUCUUCACGCUCAACGUGAAGGCGUCUAAGAGAUACCGGCAGUCUUGGAACUGGGAGAGGUAAACCGUACUUCGGGGGUAGGAGUGAAAUCUUGUAAUCCUCGAGGGACGACCUAUGGCGAAGGCAGUUUACCAGAACAGCUUCGACAGUGAGGGACGAAAGCUGGGGGAGCAAACGGGAUUAGAUACCCCGGUAGUCCCAGCCGUAAACAAUGUGCGUUUAGGUGUGUCGGUAACCACGUGUUACUGAUGCGCCGAAUAGAAAUCGUGAAACGCACCACCUGGGAAGUACGGUCGCAAGGCUGAAAACUUUAAGGGAAUUGGCGGGGGAGCACCACAACAGGUGGAGCCCUGCGGUUUAUUUGGGAUUCAAC
RNAcentral lists this ribosomal RNA (864 nucleotides) under Methanocorpusculum parvum. RNAcentral's name for it is "bacterial SSU rRNA". It matches the Rfam family "Archaeal small subunit ribosomal RNA", at positions 49 to 916 of the family's 1478-position model. The record is from RNAcentral. Lineage: Archaea; Methanobacteriati; Methanobacteriota; Methanomicrobia; Methanomicrobiales; Methanocorpusculaceae.